AUCCAGCCAUGCCGCGUGUGUGAAGAAGGUCUUCGGAUUGUAAAGCACUUUAAGUUGGGAGGAAGGACAGUAAAUUAAUACUUUGCUGUUUUGACGUUACCGACAGAAUAAGCACCGGCUAACUCUGUGCCAGCAGCCGCGGUAAUACAGAGGGUGCAAGCGUUAAUCGGAAUUACUGGGCGUAAAGCGCGCGUAGGUGGUUUGUUAAGUUGAAUGUGAAAUCCCCGGGCUCAACCUGGGAACUGCAUCCAAAACUGGCAAGCUAGAGUAUGGUAGAGGGUAGUGGAAUUUCCUGUGUAGCGGUGAAAUGCGUAGAUAUAGGAAGGAACACCAGUGGCGAAGGCGACUACCUGGACUGAUACUGACACUGAGGUGCGAAAGCGUGGGGAGCAAACAGGAUUAGAUACCCUG
This 411-nucleotide ribosomal RNA is filed under the name Pseudomonas migulae. RNAcentral's name for it is "bacterial SSU rRNA". It matches the Rfam family "Bacterial small subunit ribosomal RNA", at positions 386 to 789 of the family's 1533-position model. The record is from RNAcentral. Lineage: Bacteria; Pseudomonadati; Pseudomonadota; Gammaproteobacteria; Pseudomonadales; Pseudomonadaceae.